AAAUGUUAAAUUCCUACCUACACCAUCAUUGUUUGAAAUAUAUGCCAUUGCCUUCUCAUCAUCAUUGUCGCUAAUGAGAACAACAAUUAAAGGCACACUAUGCCAGGUACUGUGUCUAAGUUAUUCUUGGUGGAAGUUGCAUUGCAUGUCUAAUAAAGUCAUCAAUCCCUUCUACAAAAUACUCCCGCAAUCCUAAAUUUCAAUUCAUAUCCACAAAAGUUCAAUUCAUAUCCUAAAGGCUCAAUUCAUAUCCUAAAAGUUCAAUUCAUACACAAAAAUUUCAAUUCAUAUCCUAAAAGUUCAAUUCAUACACAAAAAUUUCAAUUCAUAUCCUAAAGGUUCAACUCAUAUCCACAAAAGUUCAAGUCAUAUCCUAAAAUUUUAAUUUAUAAACUAAAAUUCCAAUACAUAAACUAUAUCCUAAAGGUUUAAUUCAUAUCCUAAAGGUUCAACUCAUAUCCACAAAAGUUCAAGUCAUAUCCUAAAAUUUUAAUUUAUAAACUAAAAUUCCAAUACAUAAUCCUAAAGGUGCAACUCUUAGGGUUUCUUCUCUUCAAACAAUUUCUUCUCCAAAUUAGUAGGUAAAACUAAAUAUUUU
This 598-nucleotide long non-coding RNA is filed under the name Nicotiana tabacum (common tobacco). RNAcentral's name for it is "long non-coding RNA (NTAB_LNC017375)". Lineage: Eukaryota; Viridiplantae; Streptophyta; Magnoliopsida; Solanales; Solanaceae. The record is from RNAcentral.